GACGAACGCUGGCGGUGUGCUUAACACAUGCAAGUCGAACGGUAAGGCCCUUUCGGGGGUACACGAGUGGCGAACGGGUGAGUAACACGUGAGUAACCUGCCCUCAUCUCUGGGAUAACAGUCGGAAACGGUUGCUAAUACUGGAUAUGAGCUUGCAAGGCAUCUUGUGGGUUGGAAUGAUUUUUUUUGGUUGGGGAUGGACUCGCGGCCUAUCAGCUUGUUGGUGGGGUAGUGGCUCACCCAGGCUUCGACGGGUAGCCGGCCUGAGAGGGCGACCGGCCACAUUGGGACUGAGAUACGGCCCAAACUCCUACGGGAGGCAGCAGUGGGGAAUAUUGCACAAUGGACGGAAGUCUGAUGCAGCAACGCCGCGUGCGGGAUGACGGCCUUCGGGUUGUAAAACGCUUUCAAUUGUGACGAAGCUUUUUUGUGACGGUAGCAGUAGAAGAAGCACCGGCUAACUACGUG
Molecule: ribosomal RNA, 468 nt
Filed under: uncultured bacterium
Lineage: Bacteria
Description: partial 16S ribosomal RNA
Rfam family: Bacterial small subunit ribosomal RNA
Source: RNAcentral